Molecule: ribosomal RNA, 253 nt
Filed under: uncultured bacterium
Lineage: Bacteria
Description: partial 16S ribosomal RNA
Rfam family: Bacterial small subunit ribosomal RNA
Source: RNAcentral
UACGGAGGGGGCCAGCGUUGUUCGGAAUCAUUGGGCGUAAAGGGUGCGUAGGUGGCGCGCUAAGUCAGGUGUGAAAUCUCGGGGCUUAACUCCGAAACUGCAUUUGAUACUGGCGUGCUUGAGGACUGGAGAGGAGACUGGAAUUCAUGGUGUAGCAGUGAAAUGCGUAGAGAUCAUGAGGAAGACCAGUGGCGAAGGCGGGUCUCUGGACAGUUCCUGACACUGAGGCACGAAGGCCAGGGGAGCAAACGGG